AUGGACAAGGCCGCAGGAAAGCUUGUGCCUUGGCAAGGCCGAUUUAUUACGGCUAUUGGGCGCACGGAGCUGGUUAAAUCUGUCCUCGUGUCCCAGGCAACCUUUCAUGCUACUGUAAUUAAGCUAUCGGAGAGCACAAUCGGCGCCCUCAAGAAGAUUCAGAGGGCUUUUCUAUGGGCGAGAUUUGAUAAAGUCUUCGGUGGGCAAUGCAAGGUCAGUUGGAGGCUGGUAUGCAGACCAAAGGGGCUUGGUGGCCUGGGUGUCCUUGACCUGAAUAUGUUUGCUCGUGCUCUCCGAUUGAGGUGGCUCUGGUACGAGUGGAAAGAGCCAGAUAGGGCCUGGGUGGGCAUGGGAAACCCAUGCGACUCGACGGACAGAGAGCUUUUUUAUGCUGCCUCAACUAUCACUAUGGGGGAUGGCCGGAAGGCGAAGUUUUGGCACUCCCCUUGGCUGGAGGGAAGGAAGAAGCCCAAAGAUAUAGCUCCAUCCAUUUUUUGCGAUCUCUGCAAACAAGAACAAGUCGGUUAG
RNAcentral lists this ribosomal RNA (528 nucleotides) under Triticum aestivum (bread wheat). RNAcentral describes it as "partial small subunit ribosomal RNA". Lineage: Eukaryota; Viridiplantae; Streptophyta; Magnoliopsida; Poales; Poaceae. The record is from RNAcentral.